CUUCUUUUUUUGUAUAUUUUUAUAUACUAAUAUUUAGAAAAUAAACAAUCCUUUUUUUCCCCAUUUUCCACCAUUUUAGCUGUUUAUAUCUUGAAAAGUAUAAACAUCAAAAGAAAUGUACACUUCAAAAAUUACCAGCAAGACAAGAUCUAAAAAAAGCAAUAAUCACAAAAAUCCUGUAUAGAAGCUUUAUAGGAGUUAUAAUCCAUGGUUGCAAUUUUGGCUAUUACCUUGAAUACUUACAAAAUACAAAAGUUGUAUAAUACUGUAAACAGAAAAUAUAUUUGUAUUCCUUAAAGCUGAUGGGGUGGACAGAGGGAUCCCUGAUUCCCACGCCCUAAAUUCUGCUUUGCCCCUUUAUUCCCAAAUUUGGUUAUUCCCAUCUCACCCUUCAUAGCUAGGGUUCAUAGUCUAGUUUGAACAAGUAGUAUUGUUUUAUUUGAAUAACAAUUUUGCUCAUGGUAUCUUUUUUGUUAUAUAAUGUAUACAAAGAAUAGGAUUACAAGAUUGGACAGUACAACAGACUACUCUAACCACCAACACCUAUAAAAGAUAGACAUACGAAACACAGACAAACAAUAAACAGCAUUAUAACUGUCUUGCCUUAGUCUGCUAAUGGCAUACAGUGUAGUAUUUAUUGACAAUGGCGUACAGGGCAGUAAGUAUUGACAAUGGCGUACAGGACAGUAAGUAUUGACAAUGGUGUACAGGGCAGUAAGUAUUGACAAUGGCAUACAGGGCAGUAAGUAUUGACAAUGGCAUACAGGGCAGUAAGUAUUGACAAUGGCGUACAGGGCAGUAAGUAUUGACGAUGGCAUACAGGGCAGUAAGUAUUGACAAUGGCGUACAGGGCAGUAAGUAUUGACGAUGGUGUACAGGGCAGUAAGUAUUGACAAUGGUGUACAGGGCAGUAAGUAUUGAU
Molecule: long non-coding RNA, 922 nt
Organism: Mytilus californianus (California mussel)
Lineage: Eukaryota; Metazoa; Mollusca; Bivalvia; Mytilida; Mytilidae
Exons: 3
Source: RefSeq, a predicted model, not a curated record